AUACGUAGGGUGCGAGCGUUAAUCGGAAUUACUGGGCGUAAAGCGUGCGCAGGUGGUUUUGUAAGUCAGAUGUGAAAUCCCCGGGCUUAACCUGGGAACUGCGUUUGAAACUGCAAGGCUAGAGUGUGGCAGAGGGGGGUGGAAUUCCGCGUGUAGCAGUGAAAUGCGUAGAGAUGUGGAGGAACACCAAUGGCGAAGGCAGCCCCCUGGGUCAACACUGACGCUCAGGCACGAAAGCAUGGGGAGCAAACAGGAUUAGAAACCCCAGUAGUCC
RNAcentral lists this ribosomal RNA (274 nucleotides) under uncultured bacterium. Its description in RNAcentral is "partial 16S ribosomal RNA". It matches the Rfam family "Bacterial small subunit ribosomal RNA", at positions 523 to 796 of the family's 1533-position model. The record is from RNAcentral.